AUCACUGGGAUUUGUUUCCUCCUACUCAUUCACCUUUGCUUUCUCCCCCUCACAAUACUCCUGCACAUGCGUGUGUUGCCAGGUAUAGUGGUCUCUGCACUCUGGGUUCUGUGAUGUCACCCAGGUGAGCAUGGUCAAGAUGCCUGCCAUGCGAUGCGAGAUGUAGGACUCCACCUGGGAUCCAUUUGAAAGGAUCCAGUGGAUCGGGUGGGGAGGGAAGGACUGAACCCAGCCGUCUCCAUGAAUUACUUGGCAGGAAAAGGAAGCAUCUCCUCCUGGGGGAGUCUACUAGCAAAGGAGUUGGAAGACCACAGCGUAUACUCCAGCAUGGGUUGUUUCUCCAGGAAGCUGGCAGUCUUGGCUUCCUCAAUUGCAAGAUGGAGAUAGGGCUUUUGUUGGGAGGAUUAAAUAUGAUGAUCACCAAGGUAAAAGCUUAGCAUUUAGUAGAUUCUACUGCUGUGCUUCUUCUACAGGUGAGAAAACAAAGGCCAUAGAAGGUGAAGUAACAGGGUCACAAAAAGCUUAAGUAACUUGUUCAAGAUCACAGAGCUAAAAAGUGACAGAGGCAAGAUUUGAAACCAGGAAGGCUGACAGAGCUCCUGCUCUCAACACCUGCGAUGGGACCUUGGGCACAUUUCUUCACUUUGCCGCAAUCAGCUCCUUCUUGGCCCUGAGAAGGGACCUCCUUCCACCUGGUCUGGGCUGGAGAAGCAGUGUCAGGACUGUCUGCAAUAUCAAGAGUGGCACCAGGCAUGCAGAGUUGCCGAUCAGCACUUCAUGGACACUUCUGAACUUAGAUUGUCUACUGAGUGGCCUGUGGCAAAAAAAAGAGGUUCUGAAUUCCCUUUGUUCUCCCCUUUUAUGUUGCCCAAAGGAAAACCAAAGCAAAAAACACCCUUUGAAGCUGUCUUCUAUAUGAAAAAAUAAACAGACCCCUUUGCAAUGAGAGCCUCGGAGCAGGAUUUCAGUAAAGCUGCCCUGAUUGCCAGUGCCCUGAUGAUGACUGCCCCAUGAAAGGAGGAUGGCUACAGAGCCUGCAGCCAGAGCCAACUCUUUACAUUUUUUUAUCCCAUUCACCAAAUUCUGUUCCUGACAAUUUCCAUUCUUUUAAGCCACACCAAUGAGAUUCUUUGAGCAUCCUUUACAUAAUAAAAAGUCAAUUAGUAUGCUAUUUCUUUCUUUCUUUUUUCUUUCUUUCAUUCUUUUUUUUUUUGGUGAGGAAUAUUGGCCCUAAGCUAACAUCUGUGCCAAUCUUCCUCUAUUUUGUAUAUGGGAUGCCACCACAGCAUGGCUUGAUGAGUGGUGUGUAGGUCCACACCCAGAAUCUGAACCCACAAACCCCAGGCCACCAAAGUGAAGCAUGUGAACUUAACCACUAUGCUACCAGGCUGGCCCCAAUAUGCUAACUAUUAAUAAGCUUGAUUCUUGUAUUCAGAAUGGCAAUGGCUGUGCUUUGAAUUGAUGGAGAGGGAGGUGUGUGUAGGAAAGGAACUGAUCUGGGAUAGUGAUCUUUGCAGCAUCCUCUGGGGUCCUCGUAGAAUUUUUCUUGCCCAUCCAUCCCCCUCCCUGACCCCCAACUCCUUUGAUGACAAGAGUGGUUUUGGCUGUUGUGGUCACUGGUUGCUUUGAAAUAAU
Long non-coding RNA from Equus caballus (horse), 1635 nucleotides. Lineage: Eukaryota; Metazoa; Chordata; Mammalia; Perissodactyla; Equidae. The record is from Ensembl.